Long non-coding RNA from Schistocerca gregaria, 759 nucleotides. RefSeq lists it as uncharacterized. NCBI's taxonomy places the organism in Eukaryota, Metazoa, Arthropoda, Insecta, Orthoptera, Acrididae. The transcript has 3 exons. The record is from RefSeq and is a predicted model, not a curated record.
UUGGGUUGGAUUUCUAUACGCAACAGUGAUCAUUGCAAAGGCCACGAGUGUGAUGGAGUGGUUCAAGAAACACAGUAGCGAGUUCCAGUUGAUGGGCUGACCCCCAGCUCUCCACAUCCGAACCUGUUGGAACAUAUUUGGGAUGUUAUGAAUCGUACCGUCAGAGCUCAUCGCCACUCUGCCCGGAAUAUAUGGGAAACAGGUGACUUUCGGUGUGUGCAGAUGUGGUGCCAAUUCACUCCAGCGACCUACCAAGGCUUCGUUGCUUCCAUGCCACGACGAGUCGUCAGUUACCUGUGCCAGAGGUGGACAUAUCGGCUAUUAGGAGCAUGUAUGAUGCCCUCAUUGAUUGCCAAGGAUUCCUCGCCAUAGACAAUAUAUUUGUUCCGAAGCAACUUGCAUUUUGGAUGUUGGGCAGUAGUCAAAGUAAUGGUUGUUUAUGGAGAUUUCAUUCUACAGUGGACACCUCCCAACUACGAGUUAGAUAUAACUUCUGCAAAAUGCCUCAUGGAAAAUUGGUACCAACAUGGUAUUCGCUCAGGAUACAUCAUUCAUAUUGUAUACACUUUGCCCACAAACUCAAACUGGAUGUCAUUAACAUUUUAGUAAGGCAUUUACAACCUACUGUCUACAAUCGAUGAUACAGAAAGUGUUGAAGUUAAAUUCCUAUUUCUUCUUCCUAUUCUUUACUGUGACAGCAACGAAUUUCACUGUUUAAUUGUAUGAAAAUGUAGAAAUAUAAUAAAAUUUACAUCUGUA